Molecule: small nucleolar RNA, 180 nt
Filed under: Acanthochromis polyacanthus (spiny chromis)
Lineage: Eukaryota; Metazoa; Chordata; Actinopteri; Pomacentridae
Description: Small nucleolar RNA SNORA81 (ENSAPOG00000000751.1)
Rfam family: Small nucleolar RNA SNORA81
Source: Rfam by way of RNAcentral
CCCUUCUGCAUUAACAGAUGUCUGCUAAAAUUGUGCGAUCCAGAUAUUCUGUUUCAUGCAAUAAUGCUAGCAGACUUUCACGUGGAAGGAGAUUAUAGUGCACUGUACUGAAAAUGAGACGCGGUCGAACCUCUUUCUUAAUGUUCGUUGGUUGCUGUCUCAAGGUGAAGUGCCACAGUC